This is a non-coding RNA of Monodelphis domestica (gray short-tailed opossum), 1352 nucleotides long. The record is from RefSeq and is a predicted model, not a curated record. NCBI's taxonomy places the organism in Eukaryota, Metazoa, Chordata, Mammalia, Didelphimorphia, Didelphidae.
AAGAGACAGUUUGAGAAUCAUUGGUCUUCCUGAAAACUGUGAAUGUUAAAAAUUGUAAAGGUUUAAACUGUAAAGGGUUUGGCCCAAACUGUAAAGGAUAGUUUUUAGUGUUUUGACUUAAAAUCUAAAAUAAGUGGUUGCUAAGGGAAAUUUUCAAAUAUGAAAAUACCCAAGUCAGCUGGGAACUACUCAGACUAUACCUUAGAAGAAUCUGAGUAGUUUUAAGAUUCACAAAAGCCAAAAAUAAACAGAAACCUUGACAUCAUACUACAAGAAAUUAUCCAAUAAAACUGGCCUGAUGUUCUUGAACAAGAGGGCGAAAUCAACAAUGAAAGAGUUAAUAGAAUACUCUCUACACUAAAUCCUCAAAAGACAACUUCCAGGAAUAUAAUUGCCAAAUUCAAGAGCUUCCAAGCUAAGGAGAAAAUUUUACAAGAAGUCAAAAAGAGACAAUUCAGAUACCAAGGAGCACCGAUCAGGAUUAUACAAGAUCUGGCAGCUUCCACACUAAAGGACAACAAGGCUUGGAGUAUGAUAUUUAGAAAGGCAAGACAAUUGGGUCUACUGUGAUUGGAAGAUGUUGAAACUUAGGGGAGGUUACAUAGGAGAAAGUUCUCUUUAAAAGGAGGUCAGAAGGCCUCUGAAAGUUAAUUCAAGUUUGGAGCUGAAUUGGAGGUCAGAGGAGGCUGCUGGGGCUCUGAGAGAGUGCAACUUUGUUAGCUGAGUUGGAGCUCGGACUAGUUGGAGUAGCUGGGUCUCUCAGAACACUAGAAUCUUGCUUGGGACAAAAUCUUGUGAUGUAAGAUUGCAAAGGAGAUCUGGGGCGAUCAACAAACACCUGGCCUUGGUUGACUAGGACUUCCUUUAUCAGUGGCAAUCCAGUUACAACUAUCAUGGGAGCACUGAGCAGAUCCAUGGAGAAAAUAUUUCCAUAUUUCCUGACACACUGAAAAAAGGAUGACAGUUCAGAAGGGAUCUCAAUGGCCAUCUGAUCCGAGUCAUAAGGAAAAAAAUUACUCCACAAUGACUCAUCCCAGAAGUGAUGAACAUCUGAGUUUCUCCGAGUUCCAAAGGAGGUAAAUGUCCCCCACCCCCACCCCCCGGGGCUCUAAAGCAGAUUUUUUUCCCAUCAUAAGAGGCUGCUUCCAGGUAGAGUCCAGCAGGGAUGAUCACAGGCAGGUUUGUAGCCACCCAGUUCCUCUGCCCCCUCACAGCUGGUGGAUUCUUGCAUUCCCCUCGCACUCCUUACCUCCUGGAUGCUGAUAUGGGGUUUUUUAAUGUCUAUCUCGAAGACGUUGCCAAAUAUGGGCAGCCGAAGAGGCCCCAGGGGGUAUUUAGGCUGCUGCCUCCUC